AGUCAUUGAUUUUUUUCACGCUGCGAAAAGUGACGGGGUCUGUGGAUAAUAGUUACCAUUGCUGGGCUCGGCCAGUUUGGCCUGAGACGCCGAGGAGCUGUCCAUGUCGAUGGUGUUGAUGGUGUCGCCAUCGCCGGAGGCCAUCGUGCAGCUCCUGCUCUGCUAUCGUAUUCUCUUCUCUUCUCUGCACUCUUCCCACGUCUAGGACUUCACUAGGACAUGCUGGCUGGCUGGGAUUGUGGACUUGGGCUAUUCGAGGGCUGCUUUCACGUUUUCCGAUCCUCGGCGAUUAUCCAAUCGAGUGGGCUAACUGGGUGGCAGGAACCUUGGCUCUCGUCUGGCGCUGGCGUCAACGUUUCUGCUGUCUACGGUGAUGGUGAUGUUGAUGGCUCCUCUGCCACUGCUGUCAUUUUCACUGCAUACUCAUAGGCACACUGGAAGGCUGGAAGGUCGGCAGGGCUGGAAGGGUGUGCGCAGGAACAGGCACGCAGGGUUGCAUUCACAGUCAGACGGUGAAGCGGAGCAUCCGCACUGUUGUAAAAUCCGCAAAUAGCAAUGUUUUUAAAGCUUAUAAGCCUUUGACGCGUGGAAAUAU
This is a non-coding RNA of Drosophila melanogaster (fruit fly), 595 nucleotides long. Lineage: Eukaryota; Metazoa; Arthropoda; Insecta; Diptera; Drosophilidae. The record is from Ensembl.